RNAcentral lists this unclassified non-coding RNA (776 nucleotides) under Hevea brasiliensis (rubber tree). Lineage: Eukaryota; Viridiplantae; Streptophyta; Magnoliopsida; Malpighiales; Euphorbiaceae. The record is from RNAcentral.
UCCAUUCCCAAUUUCAGUAGUUUCUUAACAAUGGGUAACAAAUAUUACCCAAAACAAUGCUUUUACCCCAAUGUUUUGACAAGGGUUCCUAUUGCUACUAUACAAGCUACUAACAGGGAUUGCCCUGAUGCAAAGAGAUUUUUGGGGAAAAGAGCUUGUCACUUCUUACUCUAAUACUAAUAAGAGGAGAAAAAAAAAAGACAAGGAAAUAAAAAGCAACUUGGAAUGUUGCCUGUUUAUCAAAGUCCUUCUGCUCAGAUUCUAAUCUGAGUGUGUUGAAGAUGACAAAUUAUCUUCCUUUUCAGCUAGCUGAGUCUCCUGCUGUUUUUUCAAAUACCUCUGUGCAGUUGCAGUCACAAUCUUGCAAAAGAAGUUCAAAAGCAUGAGCCAAACAAUGGUAUUCCACAAUGCAGCAAAUGAGAAAUCCCAUUUUUUCACCUUGUUAUUUGAAGGCAGAGGUGGCGCAGGUGACAUAUAUUUUUCUUUAAUUGCAUGCAGUUUGCCUAUAAGUUUGGGCAGCACAGAAUCCAAGCCAGGUACAAAGCUGAGCACCCAGAUCAACUCAUUCUCUAUCCAGUCAAGUAGUUGAUUAUUACAGACAGAGAUGAUAAAAACUGUCUGUAUAUGAGUUUUCACAAGUGCCUUCCCAAUCAAAGUUGCAAGAAAAAACUUCCAAAAUGAAAUCCCAAAUUGUCCACACAUAAUGCCAGCAAGGUCAAAUAGGGGAUUUGGCACCGAAGCAAGUACUAAAAUUGUGAAGAAGUUCAAAUGUUGAG